RNAcentral lists this long non-coding RNA (663 nucleotides) under Bos taurus (domestic cattle). Its description in RNAcentral is "long non-coding RNA NONBTAT001008". Lineage: Eukaryota; Metazoa; Chordata; Mammalia; Artiodactyla; Bovidae. The record is from RNAcentral.
CAAAUAAGUAGAUUCUAGUUCUAGAUCUACAAGAAGAACGCAGAGCAUCAAAGUCUCUUCUCUGUGAAUAUCUUCAUGUACUUUGUCAUUCAGAAAUCAAUGUUGAAGAUAACAAUUAGAAACUCUUCUAAAAUAUCGAGGGCAAGAAGAUGUAAAGGAAAAAUUUUGGUGUUCCGAUUAAAAGAUUAGAUUGCUUAUGUCUUCUAAGUGUUUUUUCAAAAAUACUCAGUUACAGAGCUGAGUGUGCCAUGUGAUCCUUCCAACUCCACAUUGAACAGAAAAUGUUUUGUUGGUUUUGUCUUUGUAUGUCCUGUAUUAUAACUUGUAAAUAUGUGCAUGUUGUUUAUGACGUGUGUCUGUUUGUCUCUUAUUGCACUGAAAUCUGCAAGGUGAAUAACUGUCCUAUACCAUUUGCAAAAACUUCCUCCAACUCUUCCUCACUGUUGCCCCUUCUCCUUAGUUGAUAAACUUAGAAAACCAUUUAGAAUUUUUUGAAACCCUGAGAUUGAAUGAAAAAUCAAUCAUGGCUGUCUGAGAUCAUCUCCAUGUCCCUCUAACUUAAACAGCUGAAAGGAAAGCAUGAGAUCUUCCACCUUAUUUUAUAGAGCUGUUCUACAAUACUGGUGUGCUUGCUUGUAUCUAUACUUUGAACUAGGAUUAAAG